AAAAAGAUAAGCUAAAAUAAGCUUCUGGGUUCAUACCCCAGCGAUAGUGACUACACUUCUUUUUA
RNAcentral lists this transfer RNA (65 nucleotides) under Tetraclita rufotincta. Its description in RNAcentral is "tRNA-Met". Lineage: Eukaryota; Metazoa; Arthropoda; Thecostraca; Balanomorpha; Tetraclitidae. The record is from RNAcentral.